UACGGAGGGGACUAGCGUUGUUCGGAAUUACUGGGCGUAAAGCGCACGUAGGCGGAUUUGUAAGUCAGGGGUGAAAUCCCGGGGCUCAACCCCGGAACUGCCUUUGAUACUGCGAAUCUCGAGUCCGGAAGAGGUGAGUGGAAUUCCUAGUGUAGAGGUGAAAUUCGUAGAUAUUAGGAAGAACACCAAUGGCGAAGGCAGCUCUCUGGGACGGUACUGACGCUGAGACGCGAAAGCGUGGGGAGCGAACAGG
This 253-nucleotide ribosomal RNA is filed under the name uncultured bacterium. RNAcentral's name for it is "partial 16S ribosomal RNA". It matches the Rfam family "Bacterial small subunit ribosomal RNA", at positions 524 to 776 of the family's 1533-position model. The record is from RNAcentral.